CAUCUGGAGGUUUCAUCAAAGAGCAUAAUGUGUAGAACUGCUCCAAAUGUCUGUGUGGGCAUUCACCUGCAAGACCAUGAAACUUAGGCAGCAAAUGUAUCAGUCCAGUGUUGAAAACACAACGAAUAUCCUCCUCAUCAAGUGGAAACGACUCCCUAGGAGCACUCUCAUGAGAUGGAGGAGGAAUCAUAUUGUUCUCAACACAAAAAUCAGCAGGAGAAUCAUAACCAAAAUAGGUAGACAUGGGAAAGAAGGGGAAAAGAAGAAUGCAAUGAAAAUAUGCA
Molecule: long non-coding RNA, 284 nt
Filed under: Vigna radiata
Lineage: Eukaryota; Viridiplantae; Streptophyta; Magnoliopsida; Fabales; Fabaceae
Description: long non-coding RNA (VRAD_LNC006568)
Source: RNAcentral